GACGAACGCUGGCGGCGCGCUUAACACAUGCAAGUCGAACGGAAAGGCCUGCUUUCCCUUGUGGAUUGCGGGUACUCGAGUGGCGAACGGGUGAGUAACACGUGAGUGACCUGCCCCCAACUUGGGUAUAAGCCUGGGAAACUGGGUCUAAUUCCCGAUAGGACUGCAGGGUGGUGCCUGUGGUGGAAAACGAUUUUCUAGUGGUUGGGGAUGAGCUCGCGGCCUAUCAGCUUGUUGGUGGGGUAAUGGCCUACCAAGGCGGCGACGGGUAGCCGGCCUGAGAGGGUGGACGGCCACAUUGGGACUGAGAUACGGCCCAGACUCCUACGGGAGGCAGCAGUGGGGAAUAUUGCACAAUGGGCGGAAGCCUGAUGCAGCGACGCCGCGUGGGGGAUGACGGCCUUCGGGUGGUAAACUCCUUUCGACCGCGAGGAAGCCACCUGGUUGGAAGGGUGGUGACGGUAGUGGUAGAAGAAGCACCGGCUAACUACGUG
RNAcentral lists this ribosomal RNA (494 nucleotides) under uncultured bacterium. RNAcentral describes it as "partial 16S ribosomal RNA". It matches the Rfam family "Bacterial small subunit ribosomal RNA", at positions 28 to 507 of the family's 1533-position model. The record is from RNAcentral.